This is a long non-coding RNA of Ailuropoda melanoleuca (giant panda), 626 nucleotides long. RefSeq lists it as uncharacterized. The record is from RefSeq and is a predicted model, not a curated record. The transcript has 3 exons. Lineage: Eukaryota; Metazoa; Chordata; Mammalia; Carnivora; Ursidae.
UCUCUCUCCCAGGACGCUCCAUGUCUGGCACUUUCUACAGCCUCUGGGUCUCUGGGGUUGCCCUGGGGUCAUCCCUCAGCACCCAGGACUCUCGCUAAUGCCUCCUCCACGGGGUGACUGCACAGAACCCUGGAGGCUCAGGACCCCCGGUGCCCAGGCUGGCACGGACCCAGGGAGCUGUCCUGUCUGGAGGGACUUCUCUGAAGAUCAUCCAGUGCGGCAUUUCUGAAGCAUCUGGAGCAGAAUCUGUGCUGCUUACGGCAGGAGCCACGAGCCACUAGCCACACGUGGCUCCUGAGCAUGUGAAAUGUAGCUAGUCCACUAGUCCAAGCUGAGAUGGGCUCCCUGUGUGAUAUACAAGUCACAUUCUGGAGACUGUAAAACUACAGAGAGAGUGUGCUCAAGCAAGCACAGGAGAGGAACAGAGGAAGAGGGCAAGGAGACUCCGUGCUGAUGAGAUCCCAGGACCCCAAGAUCAUGACCUGAGACAAAAUCAAGAGCCUGCUGCUGAACUGACUGAACCACCCAGGUGCCUCUGGACUGGAAAAUUAUACAAAUAAGAUAACAGUAUAUUCACUGCCUUCUUAAUAAAGCUAGUCAACUUCUUAAGGAAGAAAAAAAGAAAA